AAUGUUGUUGCAAUAGUAAUUGAGUUUGGUACGAGGGGUACCGUUGAUUCGGAUAGUUGGUAUUUAAGCCUAUCUGAACAGGCAAUGGCCAGAAGCUAUCAUCCGUUGGAAUAUCGUUGAACGUCUCCAAGUUAGGAUCCGUGCUAGGACGCGACGAUUACCGCCUUUUCCGAUUUUUAGUUGAAUACGAAUAGGGCUUCGGCCCCUGAGUCAUGCUGUGAGGGUUCGCAUGUUGGACAGAAAGGUUCGAGUUGUGUCCUCUAAUGUUAAUUACAAAUAUUGAAAAGAUAAAUCCAUUGCAGACGACUUUUUAGCAACGGUGUACUGUAGGGUUGUAGAGUAGCCUUGUUGCCCUUCUACGGCGGAUUUGUUCAUAUAUGAUAAGUUU
Ribosomal RNA from Lobosporangium transversale, 388 nucleotides. It matches the Rfam family "Eukaryotic large subunit ribosomal RNA", at positions 3004 to 3399 of the family's 3401-position model. The record is from Rfam. Lineage: Eukaryota; Fungi; Mortierellomycota; Mortierellomycetes; Mortierellales; Mortierellaceae.